This 586-nucleotide ribosomal RNA is filed under the name Salmonella enterica. RNAcentral's name for it is "partial 23S ribosomal RNA". It matches the Rfam family "Bacterial large subunit ribosomal RNA", at positions 830 to 1328 of the family's 2925-position model. The record is from RNAcentral. RNAcentral also lists the same sequence under 2 other names. Lineage: Bacteria; Pseudomonadati; Pseudomonadota; Gammaproteobacteria; Enterobacterales; Enterobacteriaceae.
CAAUCAAACCGGGAGAUAGCUGGUUCUCCCCGAAAGCUAUUUAGGUAGCGCCUCGUGAAUUCAUCUCCGGGGGUAGAGCACUGUUUCGGCUAGGGGGCCAUCCCGGCUUACCAACCCGAUGCAAACUGCGAAUACCGGAGAAUGUUAUCACGGGAGACACACGGCGGGUGCUAACGUCCGUCGUGAAGAGGGAAACAACCCAGACCGCCAGCUAAGGUCCCAAAGUCAUGGUUAAGUGGGAAACGAUGUGGGAAGGCCCAGACAGCCAGGAUGUUGGCUUAGAAGCAGCCAUCAUUUAAAGAAAGCGUAAUAGCUCACUGGUCGAGUCGGCCUGCGCGGAAGAUGUAACGGGGCUAAACCAUGCACCGAAGCUGCGGCAGCGAACGUAUCACCCAAGACAACUUUACGGAGUUGACGAUUGACGGAGCGAAGCGACGUCAAAGCGUUCAUUAAAGUCGAGUUGGCUUAGGGAUACGUUCGUUGGGUAGGGGAGCGUUCUGUAAGCCUGUGAAGGUGUGUCGUGAGGCAUGCUGGAGGUAUCAGAAGUGCGAAUGCUGACAUAAGUAACGAUAAAGCGGGUGAAAAG